GUGCCAGCAGCGGCGGUAAUACGUAGGUGGCAAGCGUUAUCCGGAUUUAUUGGGCGUAAAGCGAGCGCAGGCGGUUUUUUAAGUCUGAUGUGAAAGCCCUCGGCUUAACCGAGGAAGUGCAUCGGAAACUGGGAAACUUGAGUGCAGAAGAGGACAGUGGAACUCCAUGUGUAGCGGUGAAAUGCGUAGAUAUAUGGAAGACACCAGUGGCGAAGGCGGCUGUCUGGUCUGUAACUGACGCUGAGGCUCGAAAGCAUGGGUAGCGAACAGGAUUAGAUACCCUGGUAGUCCAUGCCGUAAACGAUGAAUGCUAGUGUUGGAGGGUUUCCGCCCUUCAGUGCCGCAGCUAACGCAUUAAGCAUUCCGCCUGGGGAGUACGACCGCAAGGUUGAAACUCAAAGGAAUUGACGGGGCCGCACAAGCGGUGGAGCAUGUGGUUUAAUUCGAAGCAACGCGAAGAACCUUACCAGGUCUUGACAUCUUUUGAUCACCUGAGAGAUCAGGUUUCCCCUUC
RNAcentral lists this ribosomal RNA (514 nucleotides) under uncultured Lactobacillus sp. RNAcentral's name for it is "bacterial SSU rRNA". It matches the Rfam family "Bacterial small subunit ribosomal RNA", at positions 505 to 1021 of the family's 1533-position model. The record is from RNAcentral. Lineage: Bacteria; Bacillati; Bacillota; Bacilli; Lactobacillales; Lactobacillaceae.